CCUACGGGAGGCAGCAGUGAGGAAUAUUGGUCAAUGGACGAGAGUCUGAACCAGCCAAGUAGCGUGAAGGAUGACUGCCCUAUGGGUUGUAAACUUCUUUUAUAUGGGAAUAAAAUGUUCCACGUGUGGGAUUUUGUAUGUACCAUAUGAAUAAGGAUCGGCUAACUCCGUGCCAGCAGCCGCGGUAAUACGGAGGAUCCGAGCGUUAUCCGGAUUUAUUGGGUUUAAAGGGAGCGUAGGUGGAUUGUUAAGUCAGUUGUGAAAGUUUGCGGCUCAACCGUAAAAUUGCAGUUGAAACUGGCAGUCUUGAGUACAGUAGAGGUGGGCGGAAUUCGUGGUGUAGCGGUGAAAUGCUUAGAUAUCACGAAGAACUCCGAUUGCGAAGGCAGUUCACUGGACUGCAAAUGACACUGAGGCUCGAAAGUGUGGGUAUCAAACAGGAUUAGAUACCCCAGUAGUC
Molecule: ribosomal RNA, 460 nt
Filed under: uncultured bacterium
Lineage: Bacteria
Description: partial 16S ribosomal RNA
Rfam family: Bacterial small subunit ribosomal RNA
Source: RNAcentral